GGUUGUAGCGAGGCGUGUCGGAGCAGCAGCUGCAGGCGCUCAGAGAGACGCUCGUGUCCCGCUGUGACGUCACAGGAGACGGACUCCUGCAGAUGGAGCAGGUGGCGGCUGCGCUUCUGCCCGAGCAGGAGAACUUCCUGCUGCUGUUCCACCGGGAGACGCCGCUGGACAACAGCGUGGAGUUCAUGAGGAUCUGGCGCUGCUACGACACCGACAGCAGUGGAUACAUCUCUGCCGCCGAGCUGAAGGUGACAUCAAUUCCCGUGUGUGAGAGUGUGUGUGUGAGAGUAUGUGUGUGAGAGUA
Molecule: long non-coding RNA, 304 nt
Organism: Sinocyclocheilus grahami
Lineage: Eukaryota; Metazoa; Chordata; Actinopteri; Cypriniformes; Cyprinidae
Exons: 3
Source: RefSeq, a predicted model, not a curated record